UACGGAGGGUGCAAGCGUUAUCCGGAUUCACUGGGCUUAAAGGGUGCGUAGGCGGGCAGGUAAGUCCGCGGUGAAAUCCUGGGGCUUAACCCCAGAACUGCCGUUGAUACUAUCUGUCUUGAAUAUUGUGGAGGUGAGCGGAAUAUGUCAUGUAGCGGUGAAAUGCUUAGAUAUGACAUAGAACACCAAUUGCGAAGGCAGCUCACUACGCAGUUAUUGACGCUGAGGCACGAAAGCGUGGGGAUCAAACAGG
Molecule: ribosomal RNA, 253 nt
Filed under: uncultured bacterium
Lineage: Bacteria
Description: partial 16S ribosomal RNA
Rfam family: Bacterial small subunit ribosomal RNA
Source: RNAcentral